RNAcentral lists this long non-coding RNA (429 nucleotides) under Helianthus annuus (common sunflower). Lineage: Eukaryota; Viridiplantae; Streptophyta; Magnoliopsida; Asterales; Asteraceae. The record is from RNAcentral.
GGUUGCGAUCAUACCAGCACUAAUGCACCGGAUCCCACUCCGCAGUUAAGCGUGCUUGGGCGAGAGUAGUACUAGGAUGGGUGACCCCCUGGGAAGUCCUUUUUUUUCCGUUUUUUUUGUUCUUAUUAUGUUUACUAGUCGAUGUAUCUUUGGCGUAGCAUCCGAUCGGCCGAUUUCAUGAAAGGAAGGCUUUAACGAAUGCGCGCGCGCGCACGGCGGACACGGGGCGCGUGACGUAGGCCACGCAUGAGGGCAUCGGUGGGCAUGGGAUCAAGGCGUGGAAAGGUAUAAAGGAAUAAGGAGAUGGUACUCUUUCGGUUGCGAUCAUACCAGCACUAAUGCACCGGAUCCCACUCCACAGUUAAGCGUGCUUGGGCGAGAGUAGUACUAGGAUGGGUGACCCCCUGGGAAGUCCUUUUUUUUCCGUUU